UUGGAACUAGGGUUAGGGUUAGGGUUAGGGUUGGAGCUAGGGUUAGGGUUAGGGUUAGGGUUGGAGCUAGGGUUAGGGUUAGGGUUGGAGCUAGGGUUAGGGUUAGGGUUAGGGUUGGAACUAGGGUUAAAGUUAGGGUUAGGGUUGGAGCUAGGGUAAGGUUUAGGGUUAGGGUUGGAGCUAGGGUUGGGGAUAGGGUUGGAGCUAGGGUUAGGGUUAGGGUUGGAGCUAGGGUUAGGGUUAGGGUUAGGGUUGGAGCUAGGGUUAGGGUUAGGGUUAGGGUUGGACCUAGGGUUCGAGUUAGGGUUAGGGUUGGAGCUAGGGUUAGGGUUAGGGUUAGGGUUGGAGCUAGGGUUAGGGUUAGGGUUAGGGUUGGAGCUAGGGUUAGGGUUAGGGUUAGGGUUGGAGCUAGGGUUAGGGUUAGGGUUAGGGUUUGAGCUAGGGUUACGGUCAGGGUUAGAGUUAGGGUUGGAGCUAGGGUUAGGGUUGGAGCUAGGGUUAGAGUUAGGGUUGGAGCUAGG
Xyrichtys novacula (pearly razorfish) is the source of this 521-nucleotide non-coding RNA. The record is from the annotation of a GenBank genome assembly. Lineage: Eukaryota; Metazoa; Chordata; Actinopteri; Labriformes; Labridae.